AUCCAGCUAACGAGUCCCAAAUAGGACGAAGUGCGCAUCAAACUGGAU
Schistosoma margrebowiei is the source of this 48-nucleotide non-coding RNA. NCBI's taxonomy places the organism in Eukaryota, Metazoa, Platyhelminthes, Trematoda, Strigeidida, Schistosomatidae. The record is from Rfam.